This 429-nucleotide ribosomal RNA is filed under the name uncultured Treponema sp. RNAcentral describes it as "bacterial SSU rRNA". It matches the Rfam family "Bacterial small subunit ribosomal RNA", at positions 355 to 776 of the family's 1533-position model. Lineage: Bacteria; Pseudomonadati; Spirochaetota; Spirochaetia; Treponematales; Treponemataceae. The record is from RNAcentral.
CUAAGAAUAUUCCGCAAUGGACGAAAGUCUGACGGAGCGACGCCGCGUGGAUGACGAAGGCCGAAAGGUUGUAAAGUCCUUUUGCUGGGGAAGAAUAACCAUGGGAGGAAAUGCCCGUGGGAUGACAUGAACCGGCGAAUAAGCCCCGGCUAACUACGUGCCAGCAGCCGCGGUAACACGUAGGGGGCGAGCGUUGUUCGGAAUUACUGGGCGUAAAGGGCAUGUAGGCGGCUCUGUAAGCCUGGCGUGAAAGUCACCGGCUCAACCGGUGGAUUGCGCUGGGAACUGCGGGGCUCGAGUCAUGGAGAGGGAGCUAGAAUUCCUGGUGUAGGGGUGAAAUCUGUAGAGAUCAGGAAGAAUACCAGUGGCGAAGGCGAGCUCCUGGCCAAUGACUGACGCUGAGGUGCGAAAGUGUGGGGAUCAAACAGG